AACCAUAGAAACCUGCGGAGUACCUGCGGAGGGAUCAUUACCGAGUUUACAACUCCCAAACCCCUGUGAACAUACCAAUUGUUGCCUCGGCGGAUCAGCCCGCUCCCGGUAAAACGGGACGGCCCGCCAGAGGACCCCUAAACUCUGUUUCUAUAUGUAACUUCUGAGUAAAACCAUAAAUAAAUCAAAACUUUCAGCAAUGGAUCU
This 207-nucleotide unclassified non-coding RNA is filed under the name soil metagenome. RNAcentral describes it as "partial contains 5.8S ribosomal RNA, internal transcribed spacer 2, and large subunit ribosomal RNA". The record is from RNAcentral.